AAUUGAAAAAAUGGAUUCGGCCGGUGUCACAAUAAACGGUACUCCAGAAUAUGUCCGUGCCUGUAUUGAAGCUAGCCUUAAGCGCCUAGAUGUGGACUAUAUUGAUCUCUACUACCAGCACAGGGUUGACACUAACACUCCAAUAGAGGAUACUGUAAGUGCUGCAGUUGAAAGCAUCUUAAAAUUAUUUCCUUGUUUCAUAAUCUUAUAGUGGGACAGUAAUCUUUAGCUGCUUGAACUUUCUAUGUCAAGAUGUCUGAACUGAAGAAGUUGGUGGAAGAGGGGAAAAUAAAGUACAUAGGUUUAUCUGGAGCUUCCCCUGAAACUAUAAAGAGAGCACAUGCAGUACAUCCCAUAACUGCUUUACAGAUAGAGUGGUCGCUAUGGACUCGUGAUCUUGAGGAAGAAAUAGUCCCCCUUUGCAGGUUUCUUCAUGCUUCUUAAACCAUUCAAACUUUUAAAAAGUAAUGUUUACUUCAUAUCCAAACUCUAAUGUUUCUAGUCUUUUCGUUUCCUAAGAGACUUGCUAAACUCAUGCUAUCAACCAUUACUUACUCCUCCAUCUGCUACAAGCCAAAGCACAAUAAAUGCCUGAAUAAAUGUUUUAAUCUAUGCAGGGAACUUGGAAUUGGCAUUGUUCCAUAUAGCCCUCUUGGUAGCGGUUUCUUUGCAGGCAGAGGAGUAUUGGAAACUAUGCCUGCAAAUAGUUUUCUGGUAUGGGAACUAACAUCAUUAAUGUCUUUAACUUAUCCUUAAUCUUUGUAUAGUAAACUGAUAGCCAACUUGUACUUUUAAGCCAACUUUCCCAAGGUUUCAAGAAGAAAACUUGGACAAAAAUAAGAUCAUAUAUUUGAAAGUGGAGAAGUUGGCUAAGAAGCAUGGAUGUAGCCCUGCACAAUUAGCACUUGCCUGGGUUCUUCAUCAAGGGGACGAUGUAGCACCGAUUCCCGGUGAGUCGCAUUCUGUAAUUCUCAACAUCUAUUUUCUCUUUUUGAUGGCCAACAGACAUUUCAACUAAAAGUCGCAGCAGAAGUAGCAUAAUUGGCCUGAAAAUCUUGUACCAAGUACAAAUGCAUAUAUACUUAAUUAUUUGUUUAGAUAAUAGGACUAGGGCCGAAGUUUUGACCAUUUCUUUCAUUUUUUUUUUCACAGGAACAACCAAGAUAAAGAAUCUCGAUAGUAACAGUGAUUCACUAAAAGUAAAGCUCACAGAAGAAGAUUUGGAAGAAAUUUCUAAUGCGGUCCCGAUAAAUGAGGUAGCUGGUGAAUUUUUGCCUGAUAAUUUAAGUCAAUUCCACUGGAAGUUCGGUAAUACACCACCAAAGGGGAGCAAGGUUUGAACUUGAAAUAACCAUGGAUGCAAAGUCUGCAGCAAAAAAUGAGGUUUUGGAUGAAUGGACUCUCUCCAACAACUCAAACGAUUGAAAAUUUGUAUCAAUGGUUUUGCUGUCUGUGAUUGUAGCAAGUAAUUUUCCAAGUUAUAUAGUUAGGAAAUCAAACAGGUGGUUUAUCACCUGAACACUGUUGUUUCAGCUACUUACAGCAGUAUUAUUGUAGCAGGUUGCUACCACCUGUUUGUCUUGGAGAAAUAAAAAUCAUAAUUUUUUUCUAGAAAAUAAUGUUAUUUGAGAUGUGUAUGUUGCCUUGAUCUCUUCUCUUGUUUUAUUUCAACUAAUAUAUUCACAUUUACAUUGGUAAAAUCUUUAGAAAAUAACCAUCUAAAGUAACAAAAUUAUACAUAGCAAUGAAACUAUGGAAAUUGUUAGAACAAGUUGCUGUCGAAGCUUUGGUGAUUUAGUGGUAGACUAGGACUCUGCCUUUAUCAAAAUGAUUGAAUGAAACUUUGAUUUUACAUCAGAUUCAAAUCCAACUAAAACUGAUAAAAUUUAGGAGGAAAAGGGUAUGGGUGAUGUGUGUCGAAACUAUUUUUGAAAUUGACUUUAUUUUGAAAGCAAACGAAAAUGGGAAUCGCCACUAAUCUUUUUUAUAAAGUGUGAUCGGAUCACCUCGUAAUUUGAUCGUUUUAAUAAAAUGUUUGAUUUACUAAAACAAUGAUUUUUGGUCUACAAAAUCCAGGAAAUGAGUUUGGAAGUCGGUUACGCAUGAGGAAGGAUUAGCACCCUCAUGACGCCCAAAAUUGGUACCUAGUUGAUUACUUAAUGUCUUAGUGUCGAGAAUUGAAAAUUUAAAAAAAUUUUAAAAAACACGAUCCCUCUUUGUAUUAAGAUAUUACUUAGUUAAAUUAAAUUAAAUGGAGAAGGCAUUAUUUCAAGUUAAUCGAGAAGAAAGACCAUGCCCCGUGAGUUAGGACACGAUACUUUGAAUUCUCGAAAAAAAUUAGAAUAAUCACAAUUUUUUUAUCGUUACUUGAAUCUUUUUUUUCUGUUAUUUUAAAUAGGAUAUUCGAUUACUUCAGUUCUAGGAAGAUGUUAUUCUCAUUAAGUUAGGAGCACAAUUUCUUCGAAUUCAAAAAUAAUGAACAUUGCCUUGGUUUUAAAUAUUUUAUAUGCAUUAGAUAAAACGGCAGUAACUUUUAAAAUGAAGUAUAUUUAAUUUAUUUAGGCAUAAUGUAAAAACGGAUAAAUGUAUUUUAACAGGAUGGCACGAUGAUUAGUAAAAUAAGGCAAAAUAAUAGAGGGUAAAGAAAUGAAAUGAUGACAUAAAUAAAUAAAUAAAUAGAUGAAUAAAGAAAAUAAAUAAAAAGAUAAAAUAAAAAUGUCAUACUCGUGAGUAAUAAUAAAGCAUAUAUAAUGAAAGUGCAACAUCAAUUUAUAACAAUAAUAUCAUGCCGUGAUUGCUUAUCAUUACAUGAAUAAUGAAAUCAUAAUAAUCAUGAUAAUAAGGGCAAAUAUAUAUAUAUAUAUAUAUAUAUAUAUAUAUAUAUAUAAAUGCUUAAUGAAAAGGAAAUAUAAGUAAUAUCAAAUUUAAAUAUUUAAAAAGUAAAAGAAUAAUAAAUAAAUAGAUAAAAAUAUAAAAAAUAUUAAAUUUAAGUAUUUUAAAAAAUAAAAGAAUAAUAAAUAAAUUGAUAAAACAAAUAUAAAUAAUAUCAAAUUUAAAUGUUUAAAAAAGUAGAAGAAUAACAAAUAAAUAAAUAGAUAAAACGAAUAUAAAUAAUAUCAAAUUUAAAUAUUUAAAAAGUAAAAGAAUAAUAAAUAAAUAGAAAUAAUAUCAAAUUUAAAUGUUUAAAAAGUAAAAGAAUAACAAAUAAAUAAAUAGAUAAAACAAAUUUAAAUAAUAUCAAAUUUAAAUAUUUAAAAAGUAGAGGAAUAACAAAUAAAUAAAUAAAUAGAUAAAACAACUCAUAAAAGGAUGAAAUUAAUUGAAUGAUGUACUGGAUUGAAAUUUAAACGAAAUUAAAAGUAUAAAUUAUAAUAAAUUAAAUAAUAAAACCAAAUAUAGGACUAAAAUUAAAUGCACGAAAAAGGGCAAGGGCCAACUGGGAAAUUGUUCUUAGGCCCACUAAACGCACCGUUUCAAAAGGGACCAAAACGAAAAAACAAAAAUUAAAUGGUCAAAUUUUAAAUAAGAAAAAAAAAAGAAAUAUGACUGGAUUGGAAACCACCUGAAAAGCGGAAGGACUAGGGUUGCAAUUAUACCCUAGUCAUAAAACACACGGAUCCUGAGGUUAUCGGGUCAGGCAAUCGAGUCGGCCCAAAAAACGACGCCGAUUUGGGGCGUUUUGGGCUUGGAUGAAACGGCGCCGUUUCAGCAUGCUUAUUUAAGUUAAAAUUCUUUUAAAAAAAGUCAUUUCCCCUUUAUUUAAAAAAAAUCCUUUUUCUCUCUUUUUUUUUUAAAGCAUUCUUGAGUCUGGUCACUGGUCCGGCGAGCACCAUGACGGCCACCUGUCACUCGCAGUAGGCUCCGCCGUCCCCGGCGGAUGGAAAACAUCAAAAGGCCCCUUUUUUGAGUGCUUCGACUUCCAGAGUCCAAAUAUGGGGGUAAUAUCCCCAAAAAUCCUUCAAAAAUCGCAAAAAUCCCAAAAAAAAAAACUUUCAAUUUUUGGGUUUCGUAAACUCCAAAACCCUAAAAAUCGCAAAAUUCUCCACUCACGAUGGCAGAGCACAAACGUCUAGUAAGUUUUUUUUUUAAAAACCUUUCUCUAUUUUUUUAUUUUUAUAAAAUAUAACAAUUAAACAAAUAAUGGAAUCACCUUCCGAAGUUUUUUUUUUCUGUAUUCUAUUUUUUUAUUGUCUCUCUAUUCGAUUUCUUUUUUUUUAACCUCAUUUACAAUAUGUUUAUUUAGGCUUUUUAUAGUCUAAUUACAAUGUUAUUUUUUUAUUUUGUCUAUUAUUCUUGCUACUGUUUCUUGCGUGUUCAUGUUUCUGCUUCUAUAUUUUUUCUUUUUUGCAGGUGUUUUUGGAGUCAACGAUGGGACAAAGGCAGUUGAUGAUGGAAGACCCCAGGCGACGUGCAUGCGAAAUGGUGGGGUCCAACACAAAAGAGGACUUAGGGUUUUAGGGUUACUGAGAAAAUGUUUAGGUUAUUGGGCCAUUAGGCCAUAGGUUUUUUUAUUUAUUUGGGCCAUUUGUAAUUGUAAAGUUGAGUCUGAUUGACUGUUGUAAUGGACUUUUGAUUUAUUUUUUGGUUUUAUUUAUUUUAUUCGAUUUCUGUUUGGGCUCGGGCUAAAUUGGGCCUCUACAGCUGCCCCUCUUUACUCGUUGUCGUGUAACGAGAAUGAAGUAAAGACUUUUAAGAAGGACCAAUUUUGUCUGGUCUUGCCGAAUCUCAACCUCUUUGGUGCUCCUCUUUUCAAAUAACUUUAUUCUAACCUACUGCAACUUCAGAGGUAUAGGAUUUGUCUUUUCAAUUUGCUCCACUGCAACUUCAGGGAGAUAAGACUCACUACUUCAAUCUUGCUCCACUACAGGGAGAUAAGACUCACUACUUCAAUCUUGCUCCACUACAACUUCAGGGAGAUAAGAUUUAUAGCUUCAACCUGCUCCACUGCAACUUCAGGGAGACAAAAUUCGUAGCUUUAAUCUGCUCCACUGCGACUUCAGGGAGAUAAGGUUCACUUUAAUCUGCUCCACUGCAACUUCAGAGAGAUAAGAUUCGUAACCUCAAUCUGCUCCGCUACAACUUCAAGGAUAUUAGAUUCGUGACUUUAAUCUACUCCACUGCAACUUCAAGGAGAUAAGACUCACUAUUUCAAUCUGCUCCACUGCAACUUCAGGGAGAUAAGAUUUGUAGCUUCAUCUUGCUCCACUGCAUCUUUAGGAAGAUAAGAUUUGCUAUCUUCAAUCUGCUCUACUGCAACUUCAGGGAGAUAAGAUUUGUGGCUUCACUGAUCUGUUACACCAUUCUUUGGGGAACAUGACCUGUAGAAUCUAUUUCACGGGCCUAUAUUUAUCCCAAAAGAUUAAGAUGUUCUGAUCAGAAUGAAUCAAAUGCUCCUAAUUAGAUGUGUGUGAAUGAUAUUUGCAUGAAUGCAGAAUGUCAUUUUUCAAGAAUGAUCCCCUUUUAAUGCUUAGGUUAACAUUACUCGUUGUUCGUCAAGAUUUCAUCACUGAUGUGUUACCAUCUAACACAAGUGUAUGCGUCCCUUGCUCUAAAUCCAUUAAAAUUAUUGAUCUCUUUUGUUUCAUUUCAUAUUUACAUGAGUAAAAUCUAUAUCAAAUAACAAUCUGAAAUAUCUUUCAAAAGAAAAAACAAAACAAUCUAUUGCGUUUAUACAGAAAAGUAUUCAAGAUGUUAAAACAUAUGGACAUCGAAGCACCAGUGGUCUAGUGGUAGAAUAGUACCCUGCCCGGGUUCGAUUCCCGGCUGGUGCAUAAUGUUGGAGCAAUGAAGAAAACUGCGCACCCUUGUGAGGAUAGGGUUCAUCUCUUUCUCUGAUCUAACUCGCUCCUUUCUUUUUUUUUCUCGAUUUUAGAUUCUAAACAUCAUUUUCCAGGUGAAGAAAAGGAAUUUAAGAAAAUUCUAAUUCUGAAUUUCAUUGAUUUUUUUUUUUGAAAAGCAAGUAUACUUUAAUUUAUCAUCUCACCUUUCAAUUUUACAAAAAUAAAAAAGUUAGUCAAUUUAUCUUUUGCAUAUAAAUUGAAGAAUAAUUGAUUUUCCCUAUUCAUAUAUGAAUUUCUGAAUUGUGGUUUUUUAAGCUUGGAAUUUAAUGGGUAGGUUUUGGUUACGAAAUUGGAUUAACUUAUUAGUUUUGGUAGAGUAAGAGGACCAAAUUUAAACAAAUUAAAUUCAAUUUAGUCAUUUACUUCCCUUUUUUCUUAUUUAUUUCGUAAUUAAUGCUUUAAGUUCUAUUUAAAUUUGUUCAUUACAGAGAAUCUUACCUUUUGAACAAUUUUCUAUAUUACUUGGGAAUAUUUACUAUUAUAAAUUUUAUUAUGUUUCGAUUUAAUCUUUAUAUUUAAUCUUGCCUUUUUUUAUUUAUUUAAUUUUCAGCAUUUUUAAUUCCUUAUUUAUAUUUUAUCCUUUAAUUUACAUAACUUUCAUUUUUAUCCUUAAGUUUCUUAAUCAUCUCAUUUUAGUUCAUUUUUUGGUUUUUUUUAAAUGUUGAUGUUAUUGUUAAAUGAUUAUUUUUGCUAUUUAACAUUUUAUUUUGUCAUCACUAAUAUUUCACAACCAUGACCAUAGCAUUAUUACACCUUUUUUUAUUAUUUUACCAUUUUUUGUCAUUACUAAUGUUCCACUUAUUAUUUUACUAUUAGUGCCAUUAUUAAAUAGUAUUAUUAAUCAGCUAAAAAUUAUUCUAACUACCACGUGUUAUUAUUUUCUUAUCAUUUUUUGACCACGUAAGCUAUUCUAUACUAUUUUUGUCAUUUCCAUAUUAUGCAACAUGCUUAAAUAUUCGUUUAUUUUUGUACCAACACUUGAAUAAAUUAAUUGCAUAUUGCAUUAAACGUUAUCUUCAUUUUUACCCGAUGCAUAAAAAAGGAAUUUUUUUAAACCGAGGCAAUGUUCUUUGUUUAGGGAUUCGAGAAAUAGUGCCAUAACUUACGGGGUAUGACUUUCUCCUUGAACCAAGAUAAACGAGCAUCCUUUUAAAAUUCAAAAUAUAUAAGACUUAGGUAAUAAUCAAAUAACGAGAAUCCUUAUUUUUGAGGAUUCAAGAUGUCGUGCUCUAACUUAUAGGACAUAAUCCUUUUCUCGAUUGGCUCGAAAUAAGAAGACUCUUUCCAUAAAAUUCAAUUUAGUUUGCAAUCAUGCAAGAAGGGAUCGUAUCUUAAAUUUUCUUUGAAUUUUCAAUUUUCGACAUCAAAACAUCAAGUAAUCAACUAGGUACCAAUUUUGGGCGUUAUGAGAGUGCUCAUCCUUCCUCAUACGUUAUCGACUCUCAAACCCAUUUUUCAGAUUUUGUAGACCGAAGAUUACCGUUUUAGUAAAUCUAACGUUUUAUUAAAAUGACCUAGUUUUGAGGUGAUCCAAUCACACCUAAAUAAAAAAGGAUUAGCGGUGACUCCAUUUUCGUUUUUAAAAUAAAAGUUGAUUUCUAAAAAAGGUUUCAACAAUUACUAUUUUAUCAAUAGUUUGCUAUUAAUAUUAUUCAUUAUGCAUAUCAUUUUACACUUAUUGAUCUUUAUAUUACGAAAUUUAUUACCAAUACUGUUGAGGUAGUUUUUGAGCAGUACUUAGAUCAGUACCAUCCGGUCGUGGCAUUGUUUGCUUAGAAAACUUGCCAUGUUUAAGUAGCAAAUUUUCGCAACAAAACAUUUUUGGGCUUUGAAUUUUGUUGAUACUUUGGAUGUUAGCUAACUCGUCUUUUAUAUCCAAAUUACACAUAGCAACAUAUCUUGGAGAUUGAUUUAGAUUUGGAUCGAAGCAAUCAACUUCUAAAGUUUGAUGGAUUAGAUCAAAUCGGGCAAAACUUGAAAGUAUAUCCUAAAAAUUCAAGGUUUUUCCUAAGGUGAUUGAAGAUAUUUGUUAUGCUAAUUAUCUUGUUUAUUUCGAGGUAAAUUUGAUUAUAAUUAAUAUAAUAUGUUAACAAGUAUCAAUAUCUUAUAAAGUAUAGGUGAGGUACUGAACUAAGAGCACUUAUUAUUGUUCCUUGAGGAAUGUUUCUUUUUAGUGUAUUGUGUGAAUAAUCAAGUGUAUUAUUUAAUAAAGAGUAUUAGACCACAACCCAAGUUUUGUCAAAAUUAAAUUUUAAAGGAAUUUUGGAAGCUUUUAACACUUAUAAAAAAUUUCUAAGCAUUUGACCAAAUUUGAAAAUUACUUUGAAAAUAAUUUCUCAUGGUUUAACAUGAAGUUUUACAAAAUUUGAUUAAGGAAAUAUUUUGUUAUAUCAAAUCAUUUGAAAAUCAAAGUUAACAUCAAUAAUAAUUAACUAAUUAAUUAAAAUUUUAUAAAAAUCUAAAAAAAUUAUUAAACCACUUCGACAAUCGAUUUUUGUUCAGCUUUUCAAUUUUUCCCGAUCAAUCGAUUUAACCCUUUUGCUUGAACUAUUAUAUCGAUCAAUUAUUAUAUCGAUCAAUUUUUAAACCAUCCAAUCUGAUCUUAUUCUAGUAAUAUUAACCACAUAUUAUCUCUAAAUAUUUAUAAUACAUAUCAAUGUUUUUAAUAAAACAGACAAAAAAGAUGACCUAUGGGGUGCCUAUUUGGAACAUAUUACGAAUUCUUGACAUAUUUAGAGUAGUCGCGAAGUUGACAAGUCAACUAAGAUGAAGAUUCUAAUCUUCAUAGCCAUCGGCUAAAUCUUUUAUACUUGCUGUUUCUUUUGAGCCGUACACAAACAAGAAAAGCCGCAGUUCAUUAACACAAGAAAGAACAGAAAAACGAACAAAAGAUGGGUGAGGAGCAGCAGAGAAUUCAGAUUCCUAGAAUCAAACUGGGAACUCAAGGACUUGAGGUUAGAUUCUGCUCUUCUUACACUACUCAUGACAAAGGUUCUCUCUAAAUAUGCCCUGAAUUUUUGUCAUUUUUAUAUCUGUUCGUUCAAGAUAUGCAGACUGUAGCUGGAUUUAUUUGUCUCAGUUCUUUUGUUUUGUAGGUUUCAAAGUUGGGGUUUGGCUGUAUGGGUCUCACUGGAGGUUACAGUUCUCCAGUCUCUGAAGAAGUUGGGAUAUCGAUUAUCAAGCAUGCAUUCCACAGAGGAAUCACUUUCUUUGAUACAUCUGAUAUCUAUGGACCCAAAACUAAUGAAAUUUUGGUUGGAAAGGUAGACAUGCUUGGACAAGCUGUUUGUAUUUUCAAGUCCAAUUACCCAAGCUUCUAUUAUUGUUCUUGUCUCAUGAACCUGUAAAACCAAAAUUCCUUUUUCAGGCAUUGAAGCAGCUACCAAGAGAGAAGGUACAGUUAGCCACAAAGUUCGGUUUCGAAAAACUGGAUUCAACUGGUAUCAAAAUAAACGGUACACCAGAAUAUGUCCGUGCCUCGAUCGAGGCUAGCCUAAAGCGCCUAGAUGUGGACUAUAUAGAUCUCUACUACCAGCACAGGGUUGACACCAACACUCCUAUAGAGGAUACUGUAAGUGCUGCAGCUGAAAGCACCAUAAGAUUAUUUGUUCAAUACAUAAUACCAAGUCCUAGAUUUUCCUUCUUUCAUCUUCUUAUUGUGGGGAAACUAUCUUUUAACUGGUUGAGCUUUUUCUGACUUUAGAUGUCUGAACUCAAGAAGUUAGUGGAAGAGGGGAAAAUUAAGUACAUAGGUUUAUCUGAAGCUAGCCCUGAAACUAUAAAGAGAGCACAUGCGGUUCAUCCUAUAAGUGCUUUCCAGACAGAGUGGUCGCUGUGGACUCGUGAUAUCGAGGAUGAAAUAGUCCCCCUUUGCAGGUUCGUUCGUGUAUCUUGAACCAUUGAAACUUAAAAAAAAUGUAAAGUUUACUUCAGAUUCGAACUCUAAUCUUGCUAGUCGUGUUGAUCUAUGCAGGGAACUUGGAAUUGGGAUUGUUCCUUAUAGCCCUCUUGGUCGCGGUUUCUUU
Molecule: long non-coding RNA, 9865 nt
Filed under: Gossypium raimondii (Peruvian cotton)
Lineage: Eukaryota; Viridiplantae; Streptophyta; Magnoliopsida; Malvales; Malvaceae
Description: long non-coding RNA (GRAI_LNC005790)
Rfam family: small nucleolar RNA snoR114 (bases 5780-5847)
Source: RNAcentral